This 488-nucleotide ribosomal RNA is filed under the name uncultured bacterium. RNAcentral's name for it is "bacterial SSU rRNA". It matches the Rfam family "Bacterial small subunit ribosomal RNA", at positions 34 to 518 of the family's 1533-position model. The record is from RNAcentral.
CGCUGGCGGCGCGCCUAACACAUGCAAGUCGAACGGAGAUACACGCUGUUUGAGGACUUCGGUUAAAAACUUGUGUAUUUAGUGGCGAACGGGUGAGUAACACGUGAGGAACCUGCCUAAAAGAGGGGGAUAACACUUAGAAAUAGGUGCUAAUACCGCAUAAGACCACACUGUCACAUGGCAGAGCGGUCAAAGGAGCAAUCCGCUUUUAGAUGGACUCGCGUCCCAUUAGAUAGUUGGUGAGGUAACGGCUCACCAAGUCGACGAUGGGUAGCCGGACUGAGAGGUUGAACGGCCACAUUGGGACUGAGACACGGCCCAGACUCCUACGGGAGGCAGCAGUGAGGAAUGUUGAGCAAUGGGGGCAACCCUGACCCAGCGACGCCGCGUGAGGGAAGAAGGUUUUCGGAUUGUAAACCUCUGUCUUCGGGGACGAUAAUGACGGUACCUGAGGAGGAAGCCACGGCUAACUACGUGCCAGCCGCAGC